AAAAACCUCUGUAUUCAGUAAUAUUCACACCAAAGUAUAUGUAUAGAUAUAUCCAUUAAAAUUAUGAACAUUUCUAAAUAUAUUUUAUGUAUCAUACAUAUAUUUAUAUGUAUAAUUACAUAUCCACAGAAGUAGUCUUGCUGUGCUAAAGCCAGCAGUAAAAGCAAAAACAGGCUUCACAAUAGGACACCCAUAUAUGCAUAUGUACUGGCUGUUUGGUUUGUGAAUUUAUUUACAACGUAACUAUAUCAUAAUAAAUGCUUACUGUUCUAUUGUACAAACGUAAUAGUAAAGGUUUAGGUUUGUUUUUUAAAUACAAAGACUGCAAAUGAAUACAUGAAAAAAAUUACACACCAUGUACAGUAUUUAUAAUUUAUAAAUGCAAAGUUAAGACCUCUUUAAAUUAUUGCACUUGCAUAUUUUUUUGUUUUUUUACAAAGAUAGUUUAUAUGUAUCAUAUAUAUAUAUACGUGUGUGUAAAUAUAUAUAUAUAUAAAACAAAUUUUUCAGCUCACUAAAUGUAGUAAAGUUGAAUGUUGUUACCUUGAAGUUCUUUCUUCUUCACAUAACAGCCCAACCUGAAUUUUGAAUAUAUAUAUGAAACUACUCUACAAAUCAGUUUGAUCUACCCUAGAAAGCAGUCCAUUAUUUUAGGGUUUUUGACAGAGUAUACACCCGUAUUACAAUCGAGCACAGUUUUUGGUCAGAAAGCAAAACAAGAGUUAUGAUGUGCCUUUGCUAGAUUGGGAUACAUAACCUAAAGUUUGAACAUGAGCUUUCUUGUGGUAGUGUGCAGAAAGCCUUUUCUGUGUUUAGAAUGAAUAAAUUAAUUGAAUUAAUUCUUCCACUUCACAGAACUGUUCCUAUAUCACAGUGUUUGAGGCAAAUGCAUUAUUUCAAGAGGGUCAUAAUUGUUUUUAGCAUCUAACAAUCUAGUUUUUAACAUGAAUAGUGCUAUUUGCUAUCCCUACAAUUUUAACAUAAAUGCAGUCACAGCAAACUGAUCACACUGUUCUAAGUUUAAACACAUGAAAAAAGUCUGUGCCACAUAAAAAGAUGAAUUCCACACUGCAUGUCCUCUCCAGUGGAAAUAUUUUUUUAUCACAUACUCCAACUAAAGAAAACCUACUGCAUUUGUCUAAUGGGCACUUACUAAAAAAACAAAAAAAAAUACUAAAAAUACUGCCAUGAGUUGAACCAUUACAGCAGAAUGUUGCACUACCGUCCAAAAUUAAUAAAUUAAUUAUAACAAUGGACUUUCUGUCAAUGCUGUAAUACAAUAUGCAACAUCCGAGUAUCAUGCUAUGUCACCUGUUUUUCUCACAUACCUUUCAGGCAUCACUUCAUAAUACCCUAGAAAUGCUCAGAUAUGGCUUAAAACAGUUCUUUUACUGGUCUUAAAAGGGAAAAGCAAUUGAAAUUAAAAACAGAAAUAAAGCAGUUCUGGCAGUAUAAAGUGUAACACCUCUAGGAGUUAUGUAUGUAACUGUAUAAAACCAGCAUGUAAAUGUAUGUAUAAAAAUGUAUAAUAUGUACAAAAACAAGUUUUUAUACAUUUUAUACAUUUAGGUUUUUAUACAUUUUUAUUGAUCUUGGGCAAGAUCAAUUUUAGCAGGAUAAAAAUGCAAGGAAGAACAGCUUUUGGCAGUUUAACUUAAUAAGCCAGAUGCCUUACAGAUCUAGAUGUCUUACUCUAUUUGUGAGUUCAAGCCCAGAAUUUUGAACAAUUAAAUCUCAACAUGUAAUGUUGAGCAAUGAUUUGAGCCAUGAAAUCCAAAUGCAGCUUCAAAAUUUUACUAUUUGGGGGGUUUGACUUUGGAAGUGCAGGUGUAAGUUUGUUUCUACAAAAAACCCAUACACAUCUGAAUCUGCACUCUGUGAAUGCUAAACCAGACUAACUUGGUUGAGAAAAUCCAGUCUUGGGGGUUAUUUUUCUUGGUCUAGGUGCUAACAAAGAGUAACCAGGAAAACAAACUAAACCACAACCUCUGGAGUCACAAUUUUUCAUUCUAAUGGACAUUAUACUCUAGCAAACAUAUGCUUUACGUGGUUUGGAUAGUUCUACAUUAGAAACAGUAUCUGAUUGACUUUAAACAUUAAUAGAACAACUUAUUGUCAAUUUGACAAAUUUGCCAGGGAAACAUAAAAUGUUUUGUGAUACUGCCAAAGAUUUUGAAUGGUAACAGAGCUAGUGAAGUUAUCUUUACUGUCAAUGAGUAAAAGAUGAAUUAAAAGCUUUCCAUACACACAGACACAGAGUG
Molecule: long non-coding RNA, 2261 nt
Organism: Strigops habroptila (Kakapo)
Lineage: Eukaryota; Metazoa; Chordata; Aves; Psittaciformes; Psittacidae
Source: Ensembl